UAAUAAAAGGAUACAAAUUUAUUGAUGUGUACAAGAGAACCACAGAGUGAUUACCCCACCAGACGAUAGGGAACAGAUGGCUAUAUACCCUUCUCUUAGGGAAAGAGAUAUAUAAAGUGUGGAUGAUUUUAGGGGAUAGUAAAUAAUUUUUAGGGGGAGUCAAUAGGCUUGAAGAACAUACAGUCACCUGGGACAAAGUCUGUUGGGUUGGCAGAACACUGGUUUGUCACUGAAGUCUCUUCAGGUGUGUUGAUAGACUUCAGUCUUCCUGCAAUGUGAAUUCAGUUAGUAAAACACAAGAGAAGGGACCUGAGAUACUUGUUUUCUUUUUUGUUAUGUCCAGACUUUAGGCAGAUAAGGUAACUUCCAAGAACAACUUCAUCCUGUUCUUUGGAAGAGGCAGGUUUGAGAGACAGGAAGAGUAGGCUCAGAUCAGAGAGAUGUUGAGGAUUCUUCAGUUUAGCACAUCAAAGUGUCAUAGUUUGGUGUAUUGGUUUCUGAGCUCCAACAAGGCCAUGAAGACAGAAACAUGAUUCAUACAAUGUUUCUGAUUUUUAGAUCACAAAGACCAGUGAGAAAGAUUUAUAUGCUUCCAAAUGUUUCAAGUUAAAGUUUAAAUAGAAAUGUAUAAAAUAUGCUAUAAACACACACACACACAACUUCAACUAAUUAUGAUUUCAAGGAAGAGAGAAGAAUGGUAAAAUCAAGACAAAUUUCACUGAACACAUAAUAUUAGAGCUUAAUUUUAAAAAGAAAUCUUUUUGUGGAUUAGGGAAGUAGAGAAAGGGUUUCCAUGAAGAGAAUUAAUGUGAAUACAAAUGCACAUGUUUUUGUUUGUUUUCUGAUAAGCUUAUUUUUUUCUUUCUUUUUUUCUUUUUUAUUGUUUGAGGUACAAUGCCAUGAAAAGGAAUGCUGAGCACUCUAGGAUUCUACUUUAAGUUGGAAACCAUAAAUAUGUAAUGCCUCCAAUUUUCUUGGCAAUAUGAGUUUUUCUAGCAACACAAAGCUGCCAAGUGCAGGAUCCUAGAAUGGGAAAAUUUAAGUUCAAUGAACAUUAUUUUCAGGCAUGAACAACAUUUGGGCAGGUACAACUUUUUAAUAACUUAAAAUCAAGACACCAAGCAAAUAAACUCCCAAACAGCUCAACUGUUGGACUGUCUUAUGAAGAUAGCCACAAUGGCUAGGAUUUAAUGAUAAUAAGAUGUAUAUUUCGAAGCACCUCUCCACGUGAACUGUUCUUAUGCAACAGAAAACAUAAUUAUGAAAUUUAAAAAAAUAUGUUUUUUUUCUCUGAAACUGAAAUGAAUACAAUUCUGAUAUGGUAACAAGAAAAAUGUAUUUCAGACAACGAUAACUCAUUAUUGAUGUUAAUAUUGAAGUUCUUUUCCACACUAUGGAGACGGGUAGCUUCUUUGUGCACUCAGAGAAUUUGCUUUUAUCUUCCUUUGCUACCUCAGGUCAAUAGUCCAUCAAUAUUUUAUAGUCUCUCUUCUACCACAGUACUUCCACUUAUGGCGUGACAGCAUUCUUUAAAGGAGCUCCAGUAUCUUCCUUUUUCAUCAAUUCAUAUCAUUUCCAUGCUCCUCCUGGCUUAUAGAUAGAAAAAGAAGUUUUCUUAAAAGUUUAGAAAGGUGUCUCUCUCUCCUUUCUUCCUUCUAUCGUUUCAGAGGGGUUCUGCCCCACACUAGGAGGAAGGAAUGCCACGUAGAGAAGCCAAGAAGAAUCUGAACAAACAAGUCCGGCUAGAUCUCCUUCUCAGUCCAUUACCAUUAGAUCAUACCCUUUUGUCCAAUCACAUCUCCACUCAGCUGUCAAUUUUUCAUCGAAUCUAAGCAUAAAAAUGGAUAAUUUUCCCUGGGUCUUUGGGUCUUUAUUUCUGAAGCCUCCCAAAAUCAUGUAAAAACUUGAUUUAAUAAAAUUGUUACGCUUUUCUCUUGUUAACCUUUUUGUUGUUGUUGUUAUGACAGCAUCAGUUGUGAGACUUAUGAUGGGUAUGGAAAGGUAUCACAACUUUCAGCACCAUGUACGCAGUACUUGUCCUGGGUGUCUCCAAUUCUAAACUCUAGGCUCACAUUUUGCCAAGGUGAAAGAAGGGCCCACAAUUAUCUCUUGGCCAAAAUUACCAUAUAUAUUCAUUGUAAUUCCAAUUUUACCUGCAAGAAUAUAAAUUUGAGGUAUGGAUAUUUCAUAAUGCAUAAGUAAAAUUGCUAAAUUCUAUUUGGGACAUUUAAAAAAGCAUAUCAGCAAUUACAACUGUAUAAAUGGAAUCAAUUUAUCUACAUUCAAAGUGUGUAUGUUCCCUUCCAAUAGACAAUCAAGCAAACAGACAUCUGAUUAAUUAUUCCUGGUGGAUGUUAAGGUAAUUAUUUAUUAUUUUCAAAACUCAAAUAAAGAAAAAAGCAAGAAUUUUCAUUGCCUUCUUUAACAAAAUAUGUGAAAGUAGGGCAGGCAUUUAGCGAGGAAACAGGACAUGAUUACUUGCAGGUGGCUCAAAGCAAUACAAAUAGGACCAAACACAUUAUCACAAAGACAUGUCCCCUACUAGCAAAGAACUGUUGCAACAGGUUAUAACAAUGAAGACAGAUUAUAGAUAUCUUGUUUAGGCACAAAUAAGAAUAUCCUAACAAAGAAAAAACUGCUAGUAGAUAAAUCCA
Molecule: long non-coding RNA, 2654 nt
Filed under: Homo sapiens (human)
Lineage: Eukaryota; Metazoa; Chordata; Mammalia; Primates; Hominidae
Description: HSALNT0063478
Source: RNAcentral